AGUUGUCGGUGCCGUCCGCCUGAGGGGGGGAGAGAGAGAGAGAGAGAGACCGGACCCGAGUGACCGCCAUUAACACGCUAGGAACGGGGGCGGGGAUACGCCGGGCAACGACUGUGAGUGACGAGGUUGUUGUUGUGGUUGUUGUGAGGCGAAGAUCGAGCAAAUUCACUCAUCACCAGCAGCCGCCUGAGGAGAAACACUCGACCAACCGCCAUUAGCGCGGUGUGAAGGGAAAAGUCGGCUUUCGUCAGGUAUUAUUGGUGUUGUUGUGAGGCGGCGGCCGCCUGGGGUCGAGGAGAAACAGAUUGAGCGAGCGGCAUUAAGGCGAUGAGGGAGCAGGAGGAGGUUGUGUUGUUGUUGGUGUGAGGAGAAGGAGGAGGAGGUGAAGGGACCCCCGACCCGUGAGUGCGGCCGGCGAAGGGGAGCGGCGUUCCCCCCUCUCCUAUGGAGCGCACUGACCUGGCCGCCCGCCCGCCACUCGACGACACGCCAUGCCCAGGCCCGAGUGCGGCCGCCGCCGCCGACAACUGCUGCUGCUGCCGCCGCCGCCGCUGCCGCCCGGCUGGGAGGAGGCCACCGACCAUGACGGCAAACGCUACUACAUCGACCACAACGCCAGGCAGACGAGCUGGGUGGAUCCCCGCGACAGAUGGACCAAACCACUUUCAUUUGGUGAUUGUGUAGGAGAUGAAUUACCAUUGGGCUGGGAGGAAGCGUUUGAUGCACAAGUUGGAGUUUAUUACAUUGAUCACAAUACAAAGACAACACAGGUGGAGGAUCCUCGGGCUCAAUGGCGAAGAGAACAGGAACUAAUGUUAAAGGACUAUCUUGUAGUAGCUCAGGAUGCAUUAACCGCUCAGAAGGAAAUCUACCAAGUCAAGCAACAGAGAUUAGAAUUGGCCCAACAUGAAUACAAACAGCUAUAUGAUGUUUGGAAAGAUAAAUCUGGUUCCCAGACUAGCUUAUUCUCAGGCUCUUCGUCUAGUACUAAAUAUGAUCCAGACAUUCUCAAAGCAGAAAUUUCUACAACCAAAUCUAGGGUGAAAAAAUUGAAGAGAGAGCUGACUCAUAUGAGGCAUGAACUGCAGUACAAAGAGCAAGGAUUUGAAACUCUCAAAGCAAUUGACCUCAAAAUGUCAGGGGCUCAGGGAGGAUACAAACUUGAUGAAGCAAAGGCAAUUGUGAGUGAAAUGAAAACCAUCAAAAAGGCUAUUAGCUCAGGAGAGAAGGAAAAAAGGGACCUAAUUCAGUCUCUGGCCAGAUUGAGAGAUGGUUUCCAACUUAAAACUGAGUUUCAAUCUGAUCUCUGGAACAGUGAUCCCUCAUUAGUAAAUUCAAACCAAUCUGUCAGCCGCCACUGCUCAGACGUUGGGUCCCAGACAGAUAUUUCGGGAGAUUUUGUUUGUGGCCGAAACACUAAAUUGGCUGAAAAGGUGAGACUCAGUCUACAGUAUGAAGAGUCAAAGAGAAGGAUUUCAGACAUAAAAAUUGAGCUAGCUAAACUCACUAGUGAGGCAUGGCCUGGAGUAUUGGAUGCAGAACAAGACAGGCUGAUACUGAUUAAUGAGAAAGAAGAACUAUUGAAGGAACUGCAGUUUAUAAACCCUCGCAAGUGGGUACCCAGUGAGGUGGAGCGACUGGAAAUGGAACGAAAGCAAUUGGCAGAAGACCUCCAGGUAGCAAGAGAUACACAAAGCAAGGCACUCACAGAAAGAUUAAAGAUGCACAGCAAGAGGAACUAUUUGUUGAGGGAGUUAGAAGAGGCAACACGUAUAGCAUCAACGUUACAUUCACAACUUCAAAGUCUUUCAACCAGCACUCUUUCACUAUCAUCAGGCAGCAGCAAAGGGUCACUGACGUCCAGCCACGGAUCUCUUGGUGCAUCCAGCAUGGGAUCUUCAAGUUCUAUUAGCUUUACUGACCUGUACUAUGAUCACCCGGAACAAACAGUAGACCUAGACUAUCAGUAUAAAUUGGAUAUCUUGCUACAGGAGGAUACCACAAGCAAUAGACCUGCAAACUCUAUCACCACCAUACAUGAAAAUGAGGUGGUAAAUACUCGUAAUUAUUCCUCGCACACCGAUACUUAUGGAAAUCCAAAGAAGAUUCAUGCACGGAGAUUUUUAUCUGAGACUCCCAAGUCUCUGACUUCAUUGAGCCCAAGGUCGUCCUUAUCCUCCCUUUCGCCGCCUGGUUCUCCUGUGGUCAGAGACAUCCAUUUUUUGAUAUCUUCAGGGGAAUCUCUUUUGAGCCAUGCCAAUGCAGACUUUGAAGAUGCAGAGCUUCCUGAUGUAAUUACUAAUUUUAGUUUGCACACUGCGAAUGAUGACCAGAUACCUUCAGAAUCUGUGCCUUCAGAUACAGUCUUUUUACCUUCUUUAAACUUGGAAACUGAAAACAAGUCUGAAGAUGGACCAUUUAAUUAUUCAUCAAACCUUAAGAGUGAAGAAACUGGAAUUUCUACCAAAUCUAAUGAAGCUAUAGAAGAUGCCAGCACACAAACAGAGGUGCCUGGACCAAUACUACAUCCCAAAAUUGCUUGUGUUUCAGCAGCAGUAUCAGAUGAGUCCGUAGCAGGGGACAGUGGUGUAUAUGAAGCAGUCAAAAGAUCAUGUGAGACGGAGGAUGCACUUUUUGAUGAAGAAAUAGAGGCACUGGGUGCUUCCAGACUCCAAAUAGCAAUGAAGUAUGAUGAUAAAAGCAAAAGAUUUGCAAUAUUUAUUAUUCAGUUAAAUAAUCCAGCAGCACUCAUAAUACCACAGAACCAGACAAUAUACGUCCGAGUGGCUGUGCUUCCGAGCUCUGAAAAUGCAAGUUGUCUCUUCCGCACCAAGGCUCUAGUAGUUGCUGAAAGCGUGGCAUACAAUGAGGUCUUUUGGGUCACCAUUUCCUUUUCUGCAUUGCGUCAAAAGACACUGCGAGUUGAUGUUUGUUCUGUGGAUAAAUCUCACCGGGAAGAGUGUUUGGGCGGGGCUCAAAUCAGCUUGGCGAAUGUGAAUAGAUCUGGGGACAGAUCAAUGCACUGGUACAACCUCCUGAGUCGCCCUUAUCUCCAAGAGCAAAACAUGAGGCACUGUGCUCAAGAUGAAGCUGUUCUUCAAUCAGAAGUUAAUCACAAUACAUCAGAACAGAAAGAUUCCAUAUCUACACUUCUGGAACAAACAGCUGCUGAGCUGGAAACAGUUGAACGAAGACUAGAAAGCCACAGAAAUAUAUUGAGUGUGGAAGAGGAAUGGCAUGAAGUUCCAGCAGAGGGAGGUGAAUUUGGUAAAAGAGAAAUAGCUCAGGAUGAAGACCAGGAUGUGUACAUUGGAGUUCCAUGGGAAAAUGAACAUGAUGCUGAGACUCCCAAUGAACAUACUGUCACAGCGGUCGCUGCGAUGAAGAUUGAUAAAGAGACCAGUACAGAGGAGAUUGUGGCAACAGCUUCUGCAGUGCGCCCAAAGGAUAGAAGAGUUUCUAACACUCAGCAGAGCCCAUUUGUGAGAGGCAGUGCUAUUAUUCGUUCAAAAACGUUCUCUCCGGGCGCACAGAAUUCCUACGUGUGCAGGUUAAAUCGAAGUGAUAGUGACAGCUCAACAUUGUCAAAGAGAUCCCCCUUUGUUCGUAAUGCCAUGGAAAGGCGUAGUUUGCGAAUGAAAAUGCCUUCAAUCAGAAGAGUGGGAUCAGAAAGAGUGAUACGAACCUCUUUAGAUUUGGAGUUGGACCUUCAGGCUUCAAGAACCAGAAAAAACAGAUUAUCUCAGGAACUGGAUAUCUUGCGGGAUUUGAAACAGCAAAUUGACGAGGCCAAAGCCAGAGGAGAGACAGAGCUGCCUCAAUCGGUUAAGGAGGAUGAACGAUUUCAAACCCUGCUGAAGCAAAUUGAAAAACAGGCGGAGCAAACAAAAGAACAGCAGAAACAGGAGAUUAAAGUUCAACGGCUAAUGAAGAAAACAUCUAAAGAGGUACACAAGUUACGAGAACAGAGUCAGAAAGAGCCCCUGGAGAUGCAGUCGUUCUGGGAGAAGAUGGCAUUUUUCACACGAGGAAGGGGAAGUUUCCUCCCAUUGCCUGCUGAUGAUGUGUGAUCGUCUUUUUUUUAAAAGUAUUUGAAUUUCUUGCAGUAAUCACCUGAAUUCUGCUGAAUUCUUAACACUACUUUACUGAUGAUUCUUUUUGUGCAUUAUGAAAGUACAGAUAUAUUUUGUAAAUUUUAGAAAUCAACGCAGUCUUUGCAUUGUUUGAAUGUAUACAAAAUCUACAUUUUGAUUAUAUGUUGAACUUCUACAGAGAGAAUGUAGCAUACUUUGAUGUUAAAACUAAUUUGUACAGUUUAUAUUUCAGUCAUUUGUUUUUUUUUUCUAAGAAAUGAUGAUAAAAUGGCACCAAGAACAAAUCAAAUGCGUUUAAGAAAGAACUGCAGAUGCUGGAAAAUCGUAGUUUCUCCAGCAUUUGUGUGUACCACAAAUCAAAUGCAUUCAUUCAGAAGGAAAUAUUGCUUUUGGGUUAUUGUAUAGUAAUUAGUUUUAUAAAUGUUAAACUGCAAUAGAUAGGUUGAAGCACCAAUUAGAAGCUGUGACUAAAUAACACUCAGUAUUGUUUGUGAUGUCACUAUUUUGAGGUACCUAAACAGAAACUCUAUAUUCUUCUAUUAAAAUAGUCUGUUAUAUUGAAAAGAUAAGCCCCCUUUUUCUCCUCAAUAUAUUUAUAAAACUUUGGGGGGGGAAAAAUUACUUCUGAAAAUAAUGCAAUGUAGUUUUAAAACACUGUACUGUAUUUGUGUGCAAGUUAAAUGAUCCUUAUUUUAACACAACAAAUUAAGUUUUGACACUGGCCAGUUUUUAGGGCCAGGUAAAUGUCAGCUGGGAAUAUAGAAUUUCAUCUUCACGAGUGCUGUUUCUGUUAUGAAAUGUUCACUCUGCUCUCCUGCUGUUGAAACUGGGAAGAUUGCUAGACUACAAAACCUGUUUUUUUUAUAUAAUGAGCCAGUGCCAAUUUGAACAGCAAUUCAUGGCAGCAAGUACCUUUAUUACCUGACAGCUACAGACUACUAACGGUGAUGGAUUUGUCAAAUACCAGCAUAAAUUCAUUUCCAAUUGAUGCAGGACUGGAUUUUGUUACCUUCAUUAUCAACAGAACAUGCAUUGUACCAAACUCUCUAACUUGUUGCUUGAUUCCAUUUGGAAAGGUGCAGAUUGGCUUGCUUAUACCCAAUGUCCCAUCACGGCAACAUUGAAGCACUGAGAUUACCAACUAUUUUAAAUUAUCUUUACGACAGUACAUUACAUUUAGAUGUUUCAGAAUUGCUGUUAUCCGACACCAUUAAUUUAAAUUGGAAAAUCAAGGUGCUCCUGAUAAACCAUACAGAUUCAAACAAAGACUUGCAAGCUGUGGGCAAAUUCUGUGGCUUCAUUUAAUUCACGAUUUGAAAAUGUGUCUGGAUGCAGCUCUCCUAUCCAAUUUCGAAGGACUUGUCAAUAUUUGGCCUUUUGCCUUUCGUGAAAUAGUUCCAAGGUCUGGCUAUUUAGGCCAUUUGUAGGAAAGUAAUGCAUCAUUUGGAGGGUUGUUCAGGCGAGUUGUCCACUUUUCCUUUGUGGUUACAUUCUCUACAGAGAGUCCCUGGAAAGGGAGCAUGUUAUAUUCACAGGUGGACAAAAAUGCUGGAGAAAUUCAGCGGGUGAGGCAGCAUCUAUGGAUCGAUUUUCUUCCUUCGAUUUUCCAGCAUCUGCAGUUCCUUCUUAAACAUGUUAUAUCCACAAAACACUUGAGGCCUCUGCUGCCUGUACACACAUACCUAGAGUUAACUUUAAGUUCAACAAAAUUCAACUUCAUUUCCUGUUUUUAAAUUGGUCUCCAUCCAAAGUAGAGCAAACAAAUCAAUCUGAUGGAGAGACUCAGUGGGACUGGGUCAUCUUCAUGGGGAGAAUCGGCAGCCCCAGAGAGGCUUUCAUGCCUCUUCGCAGUGUCAGACUGGAGCCGAGCUCAACAGGAUCUUCCUUCCCCCACCGAUCCUGCCCAGCCCGUUCCCUUAUCUGUGGUUUUGCUAGACAAUAGGUAGGGAUAGUGGAAAUCUCAUUCAUCCAUUCAUGUGUCACUAAUUAGAUGACAACACUUUUGGCUAUUUGAACUAAGGCAAGUAAGCAGCAUGUCUCCCUUUGAGUUUUUACCUUGCUCAUCUACGUAAUUGAAAACCCUGGCGAGAUCUGAAAACUGGUGGAACAGUAAAAACCACCAAAAAGAAGCAGAAUAUGGCAUCUAGAGGGCCGUCCCUGGGUAAAGUCUGGGACGAUUGAGGUUUAGUAUAUAUAGCGUGGAAACAGUCCCUCCGGCCCACCGAGUCUGUCAAUGAGUAAUCCCUACCCUACACACCCCAGGGACAAUUAUUUGCCAAUUUACCUACAUCUUUGGCGUGUGGGUGAAAAGCGAAGAUCUCGGAGAACUCGCGGGGAGAACAUACAAACUCUGUUCAGACAGCGCCCAUAGUCAGGAUCGAUCCCGGGUCUAUGGCGCUGUAAGGCAGCAACUCUACUGCUGCGCCACUAAGGUUGUUAUCCAAUAACAUCACUUGACGUGUAUUUUGCUG
Leucoraja erinaceus (little skate) is the source of this 6565-nucleotide RNA transcript. It is a transcript of the gene named WW and C2 domain containing 1, with no coding region annotated. The transcript is spliced from 24 exons. The record is from RefSeq and is a predicted model, not a curated record. NCBI's taxonomy places the organism in Eukaryota, Metazoa, Chordata, Chondrichthyes, Rajiformes, Rajidae.